UGUGACCUCAAAUCAGGUAGGACUACCCGCUGAACUUAAGCAUAUCAAUAAGCGGAGGAAAAGAAACUAACAAGGAUUCCCCUAGUAACUGCGAGUGAAGCGGGAAAAGCUCAAAUUUAAAAUCUGUCAGUCUUUGGCUGUCCGAGUUGUAAUCUAGAGAAGUGUUAUCUGCGUUGGACCGUGUACAAGUCUCCUGGGAUGGAGCGUCAUAGAGGGUGAGAAUCCCGUCUUUGACACGGACUACCAAGGCUUUGUGAUGCGCUCUCAAAGAGUCGAGUUGUUUGGGAAUGCAGCUCAAAAUGGGUGGUAAAUUCCAUCUAAAGCUAAAUAUUGGCGAGAGACCGAUAGCGAACAAGUACCGUGAGGGAAAGAUGAAAAGAACUUUGGAAAGAGAGUUAAACAGUACGUGAAAUUGCUGAAAGGGAAACGCUUGAAGUCAGUCGCGUUGUCCAGGGAUCAACCUUGCUUUUGCUUGGUGUACUUUCUGGUUAACGGGUCAACAUCAAUUUUGAUCAUUGGAAAAAAGUUAAGGGAAUGUGGCAUCUUUGGAUGUGUUAUAGCCUUUGAUUGUAUACAAUGGUUGGGAUUGAGGAACUCAGCACGCCGCAAGGCCGGG
RNAcentral lists this ribosomal RNA (616 nucleotides) under Cortinarius anomalovelatus. RNAcentral describes it as "eukaryotic LSU rRNA". It matches the Rfam family "Eukaryotic large subunit ribosomal RNA", at positions 1 to 615 of the family's 3401-position model. The record is from RNAcentral. Lineage: Eukaryota; Fungi; Basidiomycota; Agaricomycetes; Agaricales; Cortinariaceae.